Molecule: long non-coding RNA, 643 nt
Organism: Mauremys reevesii (Reeves's turtle)
Lineage: Eukaryota; Metazoa; Chordata; Testudines; Geoemydidae
Exons: 2
Source: RefSeq, a predicted model, not a curated record
AGGAGGGAUGAUGAUCUGCCACAGCUCAAACUCCUUUGGAAACAGAGCAGAAGAUUCCACGAGUGCUUAGAUUCUGAGAGCCAGCAUGCCCUGCUAUACCCAGUUUGAAGAUUUCAGAAAGCACUGCCCUACACAUCUUGACUUUGACCUGCUGUGACAUCCCCUACUAAUCACUGUUGAACACCACACAUCUCAGACAGGCAUCUGCAUCUUAACUCAUGGCAGCCCCUUUUGUUCCACUCCUGACACUGGAAAACUGUGCCAUUGCACCUCAGUUGUGACUUGCAGCUACCAGAGAUUUGUGUGGGACCAGGACUGGAAAAGCAGAGUGGCAGGAGGUCAGAAAUAACAGGCUUUGGCAGAGCUGGAUAGGGGAUGUUUCCCCAGUGCUUAGGAGCAUAAUUAUUAUUAACAGGAGGGGAUACCGAGAAACCAGUGUGGCUUGAUUUAAAUCAAAGCAAUUUAAAUAACUGAUUUUAAUCACGAUUUAAUUCAGCAUGCAGGAAACCUUGAUUUAAACAAGCAAUUGUAAUCAUUUUUGCAUUUGUACUUUUUAGUUAUUUUCCUAAAGAAAAGUUGAUUGUCAUUGGUUGGUAAUCAUUAAAAAUCGUGAUUUGCAAACUAAAAUAGCCUUUAAAAUAAA